UUCCGGUUGAUCCCWCGGAGGCCAUUGCUAUUGGGAUUCGAUUUAGCCUGCUAGUCGCACGAGUUCAGACUCGUGGCGAAUAGUCAGUAACACGUGGCCAAACUACCCUUCGGAACACAAUACCCUCGGGAAACUGAGGCUAAUAGUGUAUACCACAGUUCACCUGGAAUGAGAACUGUGCCAAACGCUCCGGCGCCGAAGAAUGUGGCUGCGGCCGAUUAGGUAGACGGUGGGGUAACGCCCACCGUGCCAAUAAUCGGUACGGGUCAUGAGAGUGAGAACCCGGAGACGGAAUCUGAGACAAGAUUCCGGGCCCUACGGSSGCACGAGGCGGAAACCUUUACACUGCACGACACGKGAAUAAGGGAAUCCCAAGUGCGUAGSAUAGAGCCUACSUUUUGUCCACCGUAGGAGGUGGACGAAUAAGGGCUGGGCAAGACCGGUGCCAGCCGCCGCGGUAAUACCGGCAGCCCGAGUGAUGGCCGAUCUUAUUGGGCCUAAAGCGUCCGUAGCUGGCCGCGCAAGUCCAUCGGAAAAUCCACCCGCCCAACGGGUGGGCGUCCGGUGGAAACUGCGUGGCUUGGGACCGGAAGGCGCGACGGGUACGUCCGGGGUAGGAGUGAAAUCCCGUAAUCCUGGACGGACCGCCGAUGGMRAAMGACCGUCGCGAGAACGGAUCCGACAGUGAGGGACGAAAGCUAGGGCCUCGAACCGGAUUAGAUACCCGGGUAGUCCUAGCCGUAAACAAUGCCUGCUAGGUGUGGCUCCCACUACGAGUGGGUGCUGUGCCGUAGGGAAGCCGCUAAGCAGGCCGCCUGGGAAGUACGUCCGCAAGGAUGAACUAAAGAACUYWWCGGGGAGCACMCAACCGAGA
RNAcentral lists this ribosomal RNA (874 nucleotides) under uncultured haloarchaeon. RNAcentral describes it as "bacterial SSU rRNA". It matches the Rfam family "Archaeal small subunit ribosomal RNA", at positions 1 to 889 of the family's 1478-position model. The record is from RNAcentral. Lineage: Archaea; Methanobacteriati; Methanobacteriota; Halobacteria; Halobacteriales; Halobacteriaceae.